CAAAGGAAUUGACGGGGSCCCGCACAAGCGGUGGAGUAUGUGGUUUAAUUMGAUGCAACGCGAAGAACCUUACCAGGGCUUGACAUGUCUGGAAUUCCGGGGAAACUUGGAAGUGCCUUAGGGAGCCAGAACACAGGUGGUGCAUGGCUGUCGUCAGSUCGUGUCGUGAGAUGUUGGGUUAAGUCCCGCAACGAGCGCAACCCUCGUGUUUAGUUGCCAGCGGGUAGUGCCGGGCACUCUAGAGAGACUGCCGGUGACAAACCGGAGGAAGGUGGGGAUGACGUCAAGUCAGCAUGCCCCUUACGUCCUGGGCUACACACGUACUACAAUGCUACGGACAAAGGGCAGCAAGCGCGCGAGUGCAAGCAAAUCCCAUAAACCGUGGCUCAGUUCAGAUUGCAGGCUGCAACUCGCCUGCAUGAAGGCGGAAUCGCUAGUAAUCGCAGGUCAGCCAUACUGCGGUGAAUACGUUCCCGGGCUUUGUACACACCGCCSGUCACACCAUGGAAGCUGGCAGUGCCCGAAGUCGUUACUCCAACCGCAAGGAGGAGGACGCCGAAGGUGUGGYUGGUGACUGGGGUGAAGUCGUAACAAGGUAGCCGUACCGGAAGGUGUGGCUGGAUCACCUCCUU
Molecule: ribosomal RNA, 632 nt
Filed under: uncultured Gloeobacter sp.
Lineage: Bacteria; Bacillati; Cyanobacteriota; Cyanophyceae; Gloeobacterales; Gloeobacteraceae
Description: bacterial SSU rRNA
Source: RNAcentral